This 1347-nucleotide long non-coding RNA is filed under the name Drosophila guanche. Lineage: Eukaryota; Metazoa; Arthropoda; Insecta; Diptera; Drosophilidae. The record is from RNAcentral.
AUGGCCGCGCGCACGCACUCGGACAUGGACUCAGAGCAGAGACCGGCAUGGAUGAUAUGGAGGACAUCGACAACAGUGUACAGUGGGUACCACAGCGACAGCGACUAAGACCAAGGGCAAAGUGUGAAACACCGACUGAGGCGUAACGCCCAUAGUGCUCGCUCCCCGAUAACCACUGUAUCCGAAGAGUAAGUCGGUCGGCUGUCAUGAUUAAAUAAAACUCCAAUGCAAACGGUCCGGCUAGGAUAUUAAAUUACAGCCAUAACGGCUUUGGGAUUGACUCCGACAGUGGAAGGAGAGUAGAAGGCGAGUAGAAGCAGUGACAAGGGGCAGAGACAAAGGUAAAGGCCAUGCCGGCAGGACAAACAACCCAAAAAAGGCUUGCCAGAGUGUCUUUUUGGGCCCAAGUCCAAGACACAGAACACACGGAUACACGGAUACGCAGCUACAGGGAAAGAGCCACGACAAAAUCAUAAAAGACAUAAACAGUUGUAAAGACCCAAACCACAAAGGGCGUAGAAUCAAAAUUGAGCACUAAAACGUUAUCGAGGUCGUCUCAGAUUAACUAGCCUUUUUGCUGUGUCGAUGACAGGACCGACGACACACUGAAUACUGGAUACUGGACAUGUGGACAGGGCAGGGCCAGGCCCAGGCAUGCGGACAGGUAGUUCAUUCUGAAAUAUCGAAUGCAUCUUAAAGAUACUUGUGCUACAUUACGAUCAUUACUCUUUGUAACAGAUAUGCGAGCGUAACGCGUCGCUUCGGAUCAACGCAUGGACAGGGGCAGGGGUCUGGAGACAAGAUGACCCGACUGCCGUGCAAUCCCGGACCUGUCCUGUCCAGUUCCCCCCGCUGGCUGACUGACUGCAGGAUGGUGCCUUGUCGCCGACCCACAACAGUGCUAUUGUGCGACAAGUUUGUCAUUCACAACCGUCGCGACGAUAAGAAACCAUUACGAGUGUAUGAAAGAGCAAAGGACACUGCACCGAGGAGAGAGAUCUCAUUGAAUGGCGCCAGUUUCACAAUGAAUUCUGAUUCUGUCCAAAUUAUGGGAAUAUUUUCCGCCACGGUUUCAUAGCGGGGUAGCGUAGGGUUUGUUUUUUACAAGACCUCCUUAGGUGCGAGUGGAACAAUUGCUUCUUGUUUUCCAUUUCAAUUUUCUUUGAAACUCCCAAAAAUAUGCUGAUUCCUGAUACGUCUAUUGGCGCCUUUUUGCUGCCCACACAGCAGCUACUAAAGUGGCGCAUGAAAAGUGGCCAAUUUUAUGGCAUAUUAAGUACGAGUGUACAUAAAAAAUAGAAAUACAUAAAAUAUUUUAGCUUAACGCCACAUAUUUCAAACAUUUCC